CAAAGAGAGUAGCAAGGAGAAAUGUGGUCCAUACUAUUGGAUGAGAAAUGCAUGAUAUGCCUGAAGAGCUCAAGGCAUACAAACAAUCGGUGGGAAGCUGUCAGGAAAUUGAUCCUCUGAAGGCACUAUUUAAAGGAACUCUGUCCGGUUAGAAAACUGUUGCCAACACCGAUCACUUUAAAGUUCAAAGAACAGAUGCUGCAACUGCAAAAGGCUGGAAAGAGCAAGGGUCACAUGGCCUGUGUUCUGCCUAGUAACAAGAAAGCAUAAAAGACUCCUGCACCCAAGAGGAGAGGCUGUCCUUCCUGAAUGGCAGCACAGUACGUGUCCGAGCCAAGACUUCAAGGGAGCUACAGAACAUCACAGAAGAAGAUCCAAAUUCCAUAGUUCCAGUUAUCAGUUCCUGAUUGAUACCUGUAUCCUGAACUCCUGUGUCCUCACCUUGCUAUCCUGAUGUAUUCCAUCCGUGAUGUCCUCUGUCAUGGGUCCAUUCCUCUGAACUUGGUGUAGUAUGCUGUGUACCUCUGUACCUUACCUGCAGUAAAUUCCCCUUUGUCCUCAUGGGUUUGGGACCUUGACUUUAUGUCAGUUUGUUGUGCCAACUUGUACCUGUCUGCCCUUUGUAUAUUGUUUUGCUGGGGGUCUUAUAAAUUACUGUUUCCUGUUUGAGUCACUGUUUAAUAAACCAGUUUGCUUUAUAGUUAAUCCUGUUCUUUGUUGAUAGAUGUGGUUUGGGGGAACAGGUCUUCUGGGUGGGGACUCUGAGGUGUGGAACCUAAAGCACAUCCGUCUGCAUUGCAUUUGAAGAACUGAGGUUUUUGUACCCACGAA
This 831-nucleotide long non-coding RNA is filed under the name Gopherus evgoodei (Goodes thornscrub tortoise). Its description in RNAcentral is "lncRNA (ENSGEVG00005014077.1)". Lineage: Eukaryota; Metazoa; Chordata; Testudines; Testudinidae. The record is from RNAcentral.